UUCUGGGGCUGGAAAAGGAUUGUUCUGUGUGCCUGUGUUGCCCUGAUUCUUAAGAUUUUCUAAAGCCUUCUGAGUUUACAUUCUCGUAGAGAACUUUCUCACACAACUUUCUGUAAACAACCUAUUUACCAUUCCUCCAUGGAGGCGGAGAAACUUGAUGUACUGGUAGUUUGUCCAAUGCCAUUGGAGAGGUGGCACCUUCACCCUCCAAUCCACUGUCGCCUUUGGAAAAGUACAAAUGCUGGAGUCAGAAAAUAAACUUCCUCUUUUUCACCUUUGCAAUAGCAGUGGCUCAUGUCGUGCUUUCACGUGUCCUGUAGUGACAUUUCUGAGCUGUGAGGAGAGCUGCUGGCACUUUGUGUGGAGUUCAGAGUCACACACCGAGGCAGUGCAGAAUCUGGAAAACAUGAAAACUAAACUGAACUAUACAGCAGGAGCUGUAUAUUUGGGGAGCAGCAGCUGUGUGGAUGGGCCAGCUCGGGCUCUGCUCUCCCUGGACUGCAGGGUUGUGUUUUUGUCUCUUUGGUUUAGCAGGGACCAGUUGUGACCCGAUUGCAGAUGGCAGCUGGUGCCAUCCAGUGUCUCUGUCCUCUGGUGCCCUGAAGAUAUGCAAAUGAGGAAGAAAUGCAAGGGACAGCUCCUUUGUAUAAAAACCACUAGGUUAUGCAUAAUAUAUAACCACCUUUUCUUCCAGACUGCUGUUCGUUUGUUUUUUCUAACAUGCCCCUCUUUCUCUCCUGCAUCUCCUGCCACCAGGUCAAAAAUAAAACUAAGGGGACAGGAAGAAGGAAAAAAAAAAAGAAAAGACCAUAAAGACUGUCAACAAAGAAUUAUUCUGUGACUUUCAAGAGAAACCAGGAUAUUUAUGGAUUUACUCUAUUCCCUGUGAUAACAAGUUUCUGAGAUGGUAAUACACUGUCAAAUAUUUUUCAAGGUUAACAGUUUAGGGACACAAUUAUGUUGCAAGUUGUCGGCAAGAUUAAUUAAGGGUAUUUCAAAGAUAUGGGAGAAAAAUUGUUCCAGCAGCUAUUAGAGGGUGAGUAAUCCCAACUCAGAGAGUGGUUCCCCUUCAGUUCAGUCCUCCUCAGAGAAAAUAUUCCCAUGUUUAAAGCAUACUCAGAAGCAGAUAAAAUGUGCAUGUUUGGGCUGAGAAGAGCACUGAUGGGGAAGCAGUUCUAGACACAACCCACACAGUCUGACAGCCAGAGCUGGGAUGGCCCCACAAAGGUUAUUUUAAAAUAGUUUUAAAUAAAUAUUUCCCUGGGCCACAAAACACCAAAAAAUCUCCCACAGGCAAAGGCAGAGGUGAGAGCCAGGCUCAGCAGAGCUCCCCUCAGCAUCAACAACCUCUGGGAGGGCAGUUAUCCAUCACUGAUAGAAAAAAUUAUUGGGCCAGCUAAUAAAACAUCAGGGACUGUUUGUGAAAAUAAUUGCAAGGUCCAGAGGACUGUGAAUAUGAGAGAUUUUAAAUAAAAGAGAAAAAAACCCAUCAGCAGCCCAGCACCUUAAUCAAAGCACUGCAAACAAUACACAUAUCUACCCAUCUAUUUAUAAUCUGAUAUUAUUUUUAAUCCCUUUUUUUAAAUCCCAGUCACUAAUGAGGGAUAAUGCUAGAUUGAGGAGGGCCAAAGAGAUUUAUUGAUACCAACUGAGAGCCGUGGCUGUAAAUCAGGACAGUGAAGAAGUAUGCCACUGCUGGCUUAUGUUCUCUUCCUGCAAAAGGACAGGGAUGAAUGAACAAGUGUCUGAAUGAAUGACUGAAUAGAUGAAUGAAUGAAAGAAUGAAUGCAUCAUCAAAUAAAUACAUUAAAAUACAUUGCCAGCUCGCAGGGCUCGCAUAGCCCGGGAGCUCUUCGGGGCCUUUCUACAAAGGGAGGCACCGGCGGCCUGGAUUUAUUAGAAAUUAAAAUCUGCUUUGCCCAAUCCCUCCGAGUGUUUAAUUUUUACUGAAGGUCACAAGGUGCUCUGCAUUUGGAGAAAAUGCAUCCCAGUGCAGCUCCUGUUUCUGGUGAGGAGCACCGAGCUGCUGCUGUCUGCCGGGGCUGCCCGUGCUCAGGGAGGGACCCCGGGGUCCCCAGGGCCACCACGGGGUGACACAGCAGCACAGUCCCCAUGGGAGGACACCUUUGCUGCAAGAAUCAGCCUUUUUCUCCCUCCUUGCAGGGCUCAAGGCCCUCUCCUCCUUGCUGACCAGAAGCCCAGCCCACGUUUCAUGGAAUCGUGGAAUUACGGAAUCAGGGAAACUUUUAUAUUAGCAAAGAAUCGUCAAGAGUUCCAAGCAGUCCCUCCAGCACUUCCAAAGCCACCUCUGAACCCUGUCCUGAAAUGCCACUUCUACACAUCUUUUAAAUCCCUCCAUGGAUGGUGAUCUCACCAGUGCUGGGGCUGGACAAGGCUUUUUCUGAAGAAAUUUUUCCCAAUAUCCAGCCCCUUUCUUCUGGUGCAAUUUGGGGCCAUUUCCAUUAGUCCUAGCAAAUGCCAAGAUUUGUGAUGCCUCUAUGAAAUGCAAUUCUAGUUAAAUUCAGAAUUUUGCCUGCCAUGCAGCGAGGUGGCAUCUUGUCCUGGGCAAGGGGUAGGAAGGACAGGUGGAAUCCUAACAGGGACCCAGUGACAUUGUGGCUUUCCCAACAAAAGUGCCAGGUACACAAAGAACAUUCCAAAUCUCUCUGCCAGCUCCAGCGUGCAGAAACCAUCUCUGGAGCUUCAUGGGACCAGUUUUGUUCCCUUUGAGAAGACUAGGGUGAUCCAAAUUUAAUUAUUUUGGUUUAUUUUUUUUUUUUCCUGGAAUCCAUGUCUGUUUUGAACUUUGCACUUGUGUUUGAUUCCCUUUCCCUCUUCUCUUACAAGGUCCUGGAGGAUGAAGCUCUUCUAGCUUGAGAUGAAGGUCCUCCAAAUGAGAAGUACAGAGCCAUGGCUGCCAAUUUAAUUAGCUCUCAUGCAUUCACAUGCAGAUGGAAGGAUUUUUGGAAGGAGAGAAUCUAUUCAAGAUGAAUAAAUUACUUCAGUUUUUAAAUAACUAAACCAGCAGUUUUAUUCCCCACUGCUAAUAUUUCUGUCAGUCAGGUCAAGGAUAAUGAAGCAGAAUUCUAGAAAGGGUCACCCAAAACUUGUUGGGUUGUUUUUUUUUUUUAAUUGCAAAUGUUCCCAUUCAUAAAACCUACAUCUGCAAGUACAAAAUCAACAGUUAAAUGUUUGCCUUUUCUGUGUCUCUAUUUCUCCAAGGAGAGAAUUUUUUACCCAGAUUUCACUUAUAACAUUCUGCUGAGGUUUCUGAAGGAAGAAUAAGUCUUCUAAAGUUUGUUCCUGUUAUUAUUUUUACCUGUGGGUAAAUAUGUUCUUUGCUGUUAACACAGCCUUCUUUCCAUAAUAAGAACUUUUACCAUGUGUCUCCUCUUGGUUUAGAGUAGUUCCUUUUCUCCCAGUUUUUGUAAGUUCAUUUUUAACUUCUGUUGAAAAGAAAACCCAUGAAAAUCCAACCCUAUCAGGCAACGUGGCUUAUGGAAUAAUAGAAAAUUACCAAAGUAUGGAAGUUAUUAGAGAUACACAAAGAGCAAAGUGCAAUGUAGCAGGACCCAGGUUAUCUGUUUUAGGAAAUCACUUCUAGCAGAUGAAAUAACUGCUAAAAACAGGUGUUUAUUCCAAAAUCUGCAGCAGUGUUGCUCUGUCAUGUCACAUGAAAUCAUCCCUGCUGCAUCACGCGAUGUUGCACCACAUGGUAUGGCGGGGAACCCAGCGGGACUAACGGGAUGUGACAGACAACAUUUAGCAAAAAUAUUCACUUAUUUGACUCAGAUCCUUGCCAUCAGCUCGAAUCAGGGAGCGAGGUCCCAAGUGAGGCUGACAGAUGGAUGUGAAUUCACCGAGGACCAGCAUCCAGCGUGAAUCUGAAACUUUCUUGUUCUGUACCUGGUCCUCGUCCUGCCGACGGUUUUGCUGUGCCCAGCUCCUCGUUCUCAGCAUUUCCUCCCUGCUGUGAGUAGUGAGAUGGGUUGGUUGUCAUUUCUUUUCACAUAACUCGUGACUUUCACAUGAGGGAUUAAUCACAUACUUGGUACAGAAGUGCUGUCAACUGACAGCUGAUGGAAUUGAUGUAAACAGUUUUUAUUUGAGCGGAAUUGUGAACUACAUGAGAAGGUGUUUGGACUCUGUAUUUAUGUUUAGAUGGGGGCUAUUUUAGGGAUCAAGAGGUUUAUCUCUGAAGACAUCUCUAUUUUACAGUGUGACAAAGUCUUUUUGAUAGACUUGAAACUAUGGGACUUUGUUAUUGCUCUUGAAGGAGCUGUUUUAUGGUAAUACUUCUUAAAAAAAGGUUUAGGAAAUAAGUGCAUGUUCAUGGAGACAAAAAAUCAAAUAUAAGCCAGGCAGCUGAGGUGCAGAACUUGCCAUAGAUGGAUUUUUUAUAAAUAUCAGUCCUGACCUGGAUGGCAAUUUCCAACCCAUAGGCCAGGACUUGGACAGCUGCAGGACUGUGUGUUUGGGCACAAUUUGUCCUGGCAGAAAUUAGGAGGAGAUAUCCUCAUCCCAGGUGUUAAAGAUGGUUUCAGGGAUGCUGCAGAAGGUAGUCCAGGAAAAUCUGGCUGCUGAAGUGUGAACAAAUUUACAUGUGGACCUUAAUCUUCUCCUCCUUAUGAGGAACAAGACAACCAAUAAUUUGCAGGAUUCUGAAAAGAAACCUAUCUAUAGAUGCCAGAAAAAAGUUUGUAUUGUGUCAACAGUUCUUAGAAUCCAUGGUCCUUUGUCCCCCCAGCCUUCCAGAGGGAAUUUUCAAGACUCUUCUCAUUCAGACAUUCAUGGUUCAGUCUCCCAUCAGCAGUUCACAGCCUUUGUGCAGAUGCAUUUCAUGGGGGUGGCAGUAAAUGCCAGCAGUAAUGCUGAUGAUGGAAGGUGCACCUGGGGAGUACACGGGCUCAUUUCACGGCUGAAAUGUCCCCAGCCUCAGUGUGGUGGUCUCAGCACUCUGCACAAAAGAUGCUGAGGACAAAAAAGCUGUUAUAGAAUCAUGGAAUAUCCUGAGUUGGAAUGGACUCACAAGGAUCAUCCAGUGCAGCUCCUGGCCCUGCACAGACACCCCAACAAUCCCACCCUGGGCAAUGGCCCAAAUCCUCCUGGAGCUCUGGCAGCUCAGGGCUGUGCCCAUUCCCUGGGGAGCCUGGGCAGUGCCCAGCACCCUCUGGAUUCCCUAAAAUCCCACCUAUGGAUACUGCAACCUACACAGAGUCAAUAUGGAAAAUUCAGCCUGUGCAAAGAAGGAGAAAGGAACAUCGCUGCCCAUCUGUUUCCUUUGGUAUGUGCCAUCUUAGCUGAUACUAGAAGCAUGUCUUAUAUCUGAGGAAUUAAUUCCUCAUGGCUCUUGGGAAAUUUGGGAAGCAGGCCCGCUUUGCAUGCCCCCCAAACAGCCCUGGUGUCGCUGGGUUGGUGCUGACACUGUUCACUCUUCCCAGGAAGCUCAGGAGCCUCCUCAGGGAAGUCUCCUGGGAUGAAUAAAUCCUUAUCCAGAGGGGAAGUACCAGCUCUGGGUAAAACAAACCAAAUGCCCAAAGGGCUCACACCCACCCUGGGGAGCUACUGAGCAUCGAGGAGCCCCCACCUGCUGCUGGCUCUGCAGCACGGGCACAUCCCUGCUGCUCAGCCUGGAGGUGAGCCUUUACCAGGCAUCCCAUGAAGGGCCAGAACAUGUGAAAAAAUGCUGCUCCUUGCUCCUGGUCGCAGGAGCCUCUCCAGCAGUUUUUAAGGAGAGGUUUUUGCCCAUCUCCCAAGGCAUUUUGCCUUUGGAGUCUGCCUGACUUUGGAAUUUGGUGUUCCAAGUGUUUUGUAGAAUAAAUCCUUUGAGCAAGCGUGCUAUUCACUUCUUACCUGAUGGAAAAUAAUAAAAAAGCAAUUAAACAAUUAAUAUGGAUGUUACUUAACGGUUUUAGGAGGUUUAUUUAAUAAUUUUCUGGUGCUUCCCCCCCCCAGUUUAGGAAUAAGACAGACAUAACUGAGCAUGCUAUUCUGGAGCUUCAAAUUGCACUGUGAAGAGAAUUGAAGGAAACACAUUUCUUUGAUUUGAAUAUUUUUCUCAUUAACAGGACGUUCAGAAUAAAGCAGAAAUAUUUGAUGCACAGAGCCUGUGGCAGUAUCAAGUUAACACUGGCGUGCUCCCGCAUUUUACCUCAUGUUUACUAAUCACUCCAAAAGGAAAGGUCACAUCUUUCAUCACAAAAUGGAAACUUUUUGACAGCAAACAAUUGGAUUUUCAGCACUCCAUUUGAAGUGGAUUUCAGUGUGGAGAUGAGAGCCCAAGGCAGUGGGAUGAGGCAACUGAGCAGAGCCGUGCUCUUGAGGUGUUGGGUACCACAAACUCUGAGUAAGGGCUCUCUCAGCUGGAUCAGGGUAUCGUGCUGGGGUAUCUGAAUUGAAAUUGUUUGGAGAAGAGAAUAAAUAAGGUUUGGGUAGGUGUUGGAGUGCAGUUUUGGCUCCCAGAACAAGGUCAAGGUUGAGACACUGCUGCAUGUCUGGGUCAGCCUGAAGGGCAGGAGAGCCACAGUUACCUGCAGGGUGUUAAGCCACAUUCCUCCUCUGAAGACUCUUCUCUGUUUUAUCUCCUCUGUGCCUCCACCAUGGCCUUCUAGCUCUAUUCUUCUGGUUUUUUGGGUUUUUUUUUUUUUAAAUCUGUGUUUUGACAAAGUGAAUUUACUUGGCAGCUGGAAAAAAAAAAACAAAAAAAAAAACCACAACACUUUUUUCCCAGGUAGAAAAUACAGCUCGGUAGUUUCUCAAGCAAAAUAUUACCCAUGUAAUUUCUUCUGUUUCUCUCUCCUUCCCAUUCCUCCUGCUCAAAGCAGAGGAGCAGCCCUGAAGUCCUUUUUGGCUGGGUGAGGGAAUUUCUGCCUCUCUGGGAGCAGCUCCCACCCAUUCCCGGGUGCAGAAGGGAGCUGGACCAGGGGCUGUGAGUGGAUGUGACCAGAGCACUGUGCUCACAACUCCUCCUCACCCUCCCGUAGGCUCUACUGCCAACUGAGACAAUGAAGUGAAAUAAGAGGAGGGACCAGGAAAUAUCACUGGCUCUGUUCUUCCUUCCCCCACUGGCUGCUCCAAGGAGUCUCCAAGGUGGUGACAUUGACAGGCUUUACACCUGGCUCCUGGAGAAAUCACUAGUAUCAAAAGGUUGCCUGUAGCUCUGGCACAUAUUGGCAUGGCACACACCUAAGUGAGAUUAAUUUGAGUUCUGGGCAUCAUUAGCACAAUAAAAACUUUGAUUUUUUUUUUUUAGUUCAGACCUACAGGCCAUUGAAGAGAAGAGUAAUCAUAAGACAGAAACAAGUUCCCUAGUUAAAAAUUAAUUCCCUAGACUAAAAAUAUAAUCAAACUAUGUCUACAGUAUUUUAUGAAGAGCUGGGAGGAUAAUAAAAUUUAAAGCAGUGCAACAUUUGCAUUUUGUUCAUUUCUAUCCAUAUUUUUCCGCAGACUGCCUUUCUGUGUGCUUGUUAAUCAUAUGCACUGCUACAGUCCUGGCAUUUUAAGAUCACUGUUCACAUCAAGAUUGAAAGGAAACUAAUUACAAUCACAUUUCAGGGUGGUUGUUCAAAGCUCGUUCGGCGUCGGCUACAGCACAGGAGCCUUGACCUUUAUUUGUAAGCAUGAAAAUAAGGUAAAGAUGAAAGAUUGGUUUCCCUGCAGCUUGUACUCAGGGAUCAGGAGGCCCUCUGGAGAGGCAGAGGUGUGGGAAGCCUCUCUGCUCUCCUCCUCUCCCAUGCUGGCAGCAGAGGCCAGUAGUGCUAUGUAGAAGCUCUGCUCCACUGCAGCAAGAGGUGAACAAAAGCUCCACAGUAUUUUUCAGCUCUCCCUCCCCGCUGGAAGAACAUGGAAAGAACCAACAGACCUGAGGAGUCUUUUUGACCCCUGUGCAGAGCUUUGCAGGGAUUUGUUUGUAGUGCCUGGUGCUGCGCUCUGUGCUCAGGUGGUCGAGGUAUUGGCACGUGCCAGCUCCAAGCAGUGCCACAAACUCUUCUGCUGCUCAUUCCACGGCUUAACAACACUCACAGUACUCAGGUAGGUGCACUGGGGCAGAAUAAGGUCCCUCAAACCUUAGGGAGUGCAGUAAUCCUAAUGCAAUCCUUGACUGCACUCAUUGGGAAUACAUUUGAGAGUGUGCCGAUUUAUCCAAUAGGUUCCACCUUCUGUGUCCCUGAAUUUUCCAAACUGGUGUUUUGAUAAAUUUGUGCUAUGCUGAGAGUGAGCUGGUUACACAAAUGGGUUUCACCCAGGAGCUGCUGAUGGGGGGCUGUCCCCAAAUGCCCCUUUCAGGGUUGCUGACCAGUGUUCAAAGCCACGGUGAGUGGCUGAAGGAUCCUUCAGGUGAUCCCUGAAGGAUCUCCUGAGCUUCCACCCAGCCUGGAUUAUCACAGCUCUGCCUGGAAUGAGUUCAUUGAGAAGUUCCCCUUCUCAAUGAGAGAAACAAUCCCAUUUUUCUCCCACAGGGUGCUUGCCCUGCACAAUCACUGCGUGCGCCCGGCCCCGUGUCCAGGCAAUCUCUCCUGGAGCCCUGACAUCCCGUGGGUUUUUUGGCAGGUUCCACCAGGUAAUUCGUAUCUCCUGUCUGGAAAAGCUCUAUUUGGGGCACCAAGCAGUGAGAGAAGAGAAACUCAUCUCACACCCAGCUCCCAGCCUCCCUCAGCCUGCUGCAGGCAGAGACCACCUGCGUCAUGCUAAGAACACAGAACUUGUAUGCUCAAACCAAGCAGCAAAGAUGAGUUUGUAACACUUUUUGUGAUGUAUUCUCCUUCUCUCUACAUUCUUCAAAGCACAAAUUUCCCCAGACAAAUAUUUACAGAAACUGAAGGAAAAAAUAGACUGGUGCUAUAGACACUGCAGCAGACAACUUCUAAUUACAAUCCACAAAGUAUUUAUGAAUAAAUUUAUCUAUUAUUUGUCUAGUUCAAGCACUGCGUACACUUUGCCUUGUACCAUUACAUGCUGAAGGAAACAAUAUGCGGCAUGAAAAUGAAAACAAUUUGACUUAAUUAUUUACACCAUUACCGCCACUUUGAAUUAGGCCUUCCAUUUCUUCAGGAUUUUGUAAAAUUUAACCAGCAAUUAUGCUUGCUUAAUUAAUUUUAUUUAUCUACUACUACAAUGAGAUCAAAACAAAAAACCUACCAGAAUGCAAAGCACAGGCUGAGUCCCCUAAUUGUAAAUGUUGCUUUUAAGCCUUUAUGAUAAAAAUGUAGUAUUUUGUACCAUUUCAUUUCAAGCGUAUCUGGCCAUGCUCCAGUACUAUUUAAGCGUAAACAGGAAAAGCCUUGGAGGACGAGUAAUCACACUUAAAUGACACAAAGAUCAUUAUAAUGAUGUUCCAAAAACAUGGCAAAAUUAGAUAUUGCAGAACUGUUUUCUUCUCUGAAGUGUUCCACCAGAUGGUGAAGAGUGCUGAAACCGUAGAUCCGAGAGAGGGCAGGAAAAACAUCCCCACACUUCCCUCACUUGUCUCAAGUGGCACCUCACACCUUGGCUCCAUCAAACCUCCAAGCUCAAGAUGACACCGAGGUGUUUGAGUGCUGAAUCACAGCCUGGGAAAGCCCUGCUUUGUUCCAUUAAAGUUGUCAGCCGCAGUUUUUUGGCUCCGAGGACGAACAAGCGCGUCAGCAGAAGCGAUGGUGGUAAUUUGUGAAACUCUUAAUGAGAUAUUUUCAGAGCUCAUAAAGAGGAAGAGUCGUGUCUUUGAAUUGCUGCACAAUGAGCGCAUUUUGAUACAGGAAAAGAGUUGGGCUUUUAUCAGAAAUGGCACUGCAUCAGUGGAGAUGUGUCAGGGAGCAUUUAAAGGGGUCUAACAAGGGUUAUAUAAAUGGGGUUUAUAUAAAUAGGGAGAUGUCUGUGUGUGUUGCUGCUCUGUGAAAUGGCCCCGAGUGAGGUGAGUCUGCAUUUUAUCACUAUUGGUCUCCCUUUCCAAAAGACUUGACAAAGUUACUUUCCACAGGACCUGCUACAUCUUCAGAUGUCAUUAGAUUUUGGGGUUUUUUUGUUAUUAGAAAUAUCUGAGAAAUAUCUAGAAAUUUGGAAUUACUCUAUAAAGGAACGCUAAUUUUGUUACUUAAAUAUUGGUCAGGGGAUUUUACUUUUAGGAGUAUUGGUGAACCCCAAGUACCUGCUGGCCAUCCAUCCAUCCAUCCAUCCAUCCAUCCAUCCAUCCAUCCAUCCAUCCAUCCACACCUUCCAGAAUUUCUGAGCUCUUUUAAUACAUAUUGUGGGGAAUCCAUAGGUAAACAAGGUGAAAUAUUGGGGUGCUGUGGUUUCUGCUGACCUGUUCCCAGUUCUAGCUCCCUUUGGAAAUCCUGGCAUGUCCUGGGAGACAGCGAAGUCACAGUGGGGACAAGAGCUAUGCUCUGGAGCCUUUGGGCUCUUUGGGCUGGGAUGCACUGAACGAAAGAGGGUAGAAAAGUAUUUCUAAACCUUCCACCUUCCCAAAAUGUUUGGUGUAAAUGUAUUUCCAAGCCUUCCACCUUCAUGAAAUAUUCGGUUUCUUAACAUUUCCUCAGGAACACACAUGACAAAUUCAGCUCCACAGGAAAACUCGUCCUUUUUCGCUGAAAGAUCCUGAAAUGGAAGGUGACUUCAUUCCUGACUGGCAGUCAUUCUAAUUCCAUGCUGAGCAAGAGAACAGCCUCUUAUUCACUGUGUAACAAAUAUUUUUGAACUGAAUGUUCACAGAAGAAAGGUCCAAAGAAUGGUCCAAAGAUUGGCCCACAUGCUGCAUUUGCUGCACUUCCAUUAUUCAGAGUAAGCAAUGAAAAUAAUGCAAUAAACUCCCCCCUUUCCACCUAUCCCCAUUCAAAGAACAUUUGGAAAUGGGGCUUGCAAAUGGGAGAGGGUGAACACAAUAUCAGCAAUCCUGUUUAUCCAUUUGCAUCCAGCUCAUCUGCUUAAGUGAGGAGCCUGUGCAUGGUUGGUUUUCAAUGGCCUGUGUUAAAUGAAGGGCUGAUUUCACCCCCCUGCCUCGAGGACAGAGGACCAUUUGCUGAGCAGCCACUGUAAGUGACAUUAAAUGACAUCCCAACCGUCCCUCUCAGGUGGUAUUGGAUGGAAAGUAUCCCAUAAUCUUAAAAAUGAACUCUGAACCCAUGGGAGCUUGCAGGUUGUUCUCAAGGUAAAUACCUUGGGAGAAUGGUCUCUCAGGGAUACUGUGCCUCAGUUUUGCCUCUGAAAAAUAGCAACACAAGGAUUUUGGGGAAGCAUUGUUGUAUUUUCACUCAACACAUAUUAUUCUCUUUUUAGAUGAGCUCUUCUAGCAAUGCCAAAUCUUUCCAAAAACUCGAUUUAUCAAAAAAAAAAAAACAAAAAACAAACCACUUUACAAUAAUUAGUAACCUCUCUGUCUUGAGGAAGGCAAAGGUUUUAUUCUGAGUCUGAGCUUAAUUAUGUUUUCAGAGCCGUGUCAUGGAGGCUCAGAUGAAAUUCUUGCUUUGUGUGCAAGAAAGUCACACCACAUUUGCAUUUGUUUGACAGAAGCCCUGAUCUCAUCCAAUAUGGAGUGCACGAAUCUGGCAAUGCUCCCGUUGGACAUCUAUUUUAUAUUCUGCCUAAAUUGCAGGCAAAAUAUCAUUCCUUGCACUUAAAUGCUGAUACCUUUGAGGGAGGGAAUAAAGCCUGGUCCAUCCAAAUGACAUCCCCCAUGGGGCUGUGCAUCAGAGCUCUGUCUCCACCAGCCAGCAGAGGCUGCUCUGAUGUGAUUCCUUAUUAAAUCAUUCAUUAUUUUCAGUAAUAAAGCACAUGGAGGAAAUCAAACCCAAAUAUUGAAAAGAUGAAAUGAUCUACGAGCCAGAAUGCCAUGGAAUGUGCUAUGUGGGAGUAGGCUGGGAAGCAGCAGCCCCUAGCCCAAUUCUUCUGGACAAUCUGCUGCCCAGUGGAUUUUCCAACUCUGGGAUGUGGCCAGGUGGGCUCCAGGAACAGCAGAGCACAUCCUGCUUCUGAUGAGAUGGUAAGAACUGGGAUUACUCUUCUAGCAUAUAAAUUCUGUCACUCUGGCCCUUAAAACCCAGCGUUUGUUCAACGAGGAGAGCUGUGGAUUUUAACUGGAUACUUGAAAUAAACCAAUUGUCUGCCUUUACUUAGAAAACAGGAUUUUUUUUUUUCCUAGUUAUUAAUUUCCUUAAAUGUAAAGUGACAUCUGAAAUGAAAACAGUUUAUUGCUUGCCAGGAGCAAAGCCAGCCUAAUUUAAGAAAUCCAGAAUUAAAGCUUUUGAAGCAUAUCAAGGCAUGUUUAUAAAACAAUUAUCAUUGCAAACAUUCUCUCUGCUCAAUGCAGCCUCUUCAGACCACCUCCAAAGCCUGAAACUUCAUCACCAGUUGUCCCCACCCCGAAAUGUUUCAUCAAUUGCAUAAAAUCAGGUCAUCGUUUGAUUGCAGCUUCCCUCUGCCAGGGAACCCAGGCGUUGAAUCCCAAACCAAACCCACCUGGAAUGUAUUCGAUGCUGAAAAAAAAAUUAACUCAGUGUUUAAAAUUAAGUAGUAGGCUCAUUAUUAAUAACUCAUAGCAGACAAAGGAGUGCAGUGACCUCUCCAACAGAGCAUUUAAAUCUUUGCACAACAUGCUCUGCUUGUGCUAGGCUGGUUUCACAAACAACAGCUGUGGAGUUCGUUAACAUAUGAAUCCCCUUGAGGUAAUUUGGAGGAGCCAAAUGUGCUAAACUAAACACCUCAUUAAAACAGGACUUUAAAAAACAAAACAGACCAAAAAACCCAACCCCAACCAAACCCCAAACUAAUUUCACAUUCCACCAUGUGGAGAUUCUAUUAGGUGGAAUUCAUUCAUCUUCGUGGCUGGAAAUAGUGGGGGUUAAAAUCGGUAAUAUGGGUUUUUCUCUGCUAAGAUGCACUUGAGACUAAAUUGCCUUUGAAGUGUGCCUGUCACAAAGAAGCAAUUAACUGAGGACAAUAAUGUUUUCUUUUCCUCCCUGUUACUGAGCACAAGACAGGAGUUUGUUCUCAAAUAUGCAGGACUCCAUUUCUCUUGGGUCUGGGAAGAGAAUGGACAUAACCAAAGGGACUCUCACUUGGAUGGGGCAAAGCAGAAUCACACUGAGUGCUCCUGGGGUCACUGUGUCCCCCAGGAAAGCCUUGCAAGAGAUUUGCAGAGAAAUCCUCCAUAAAAACACUGCUGCAAGUCCAGGUGGCCACACACAAGAGGUACAGUCCCAACAGAGUGGGAGAAACACGCCCUGCCCUUGUUCCUGCGGGCUCCAGAGGGCUCAGGGCCCUGAUCAAAAUUUGCACCAAGAGCAGCUUCUUUUGGUUCUUCUUUAUUUCUCCAUGAUGCUACUGAGGCAAUUCUGAUGGUAAAAAGGUUCCCAAGCUCCUUGGAGCUGGUCCUCCUGGAAAGCAGCAUCUCCUGCCCAGAUAAUGCUGCUCAGUGAAGCACUGGAGCUUAAAUAUCUCCUGUGAUGAGGCUGUUUAAAAAACACACAGAAAUCCAGGCCUUUCCUUGGAAAAUAACCUUUUCUUCUCUGUCUCCAGCUGAAUUUGUUGGUGACUGGAAGGAGGGAUGUGAAGGACACUUGUUUCACGGUCUACAGGGAAUUUUGCAAUAUUAAAAACAAUAAAAGAUUGAUCCCCCAAACUGCUUGCCCCCCCAAAAAACGUAAAUUAGUCACCCCUCUUUUUUACCUCUGGUUUUCUACCUGCAUCAAGAUAUGUUUUAAGAGAUGUUCCUAGAAUUUAUUAAUUUCUAAAUGGGAGAGCAAGUUUUCUUUUAAAAAUGUAGAUGUCUUUUCAGAUUUUGAUAAUGAUCUGAAAGGCAAAUAACUGGGAAUUUUUCGCAUGCUGGAGUCUUGAAGGAACAGCUCAUUUUCCUUCAGGAAAUUGUGGUUUAAGGUUCUCCUGAAUGACCUCAAAUUAUAGGGUGCUAUAGAGCUCUUGGGUUUUUUGUUUUUCUUCCUCAAAAAAAGAUUCCUAUUUUAAUGCUCCAUCCACAUCUAUUUUAUGUUUCCUUUAUCAGGAAAACAGCAACCUAAUUAGCAAUGAUAAUUUGGAACUUCCAUAAGAAACCUUUCACAUGGAUAAAAACAACAGAAGCUGGGUAAUAUUGAGGCACUAAUGCAUGCUCAAUAGUUUUUAUUUUCCUUUUUAAAGCCUUUAUUCCUGAAACUUAGGCAAGGAACUUGGUUUUAGGGAGCUGGAAAAAAAAUCUCAUGCUUACAAUCUUAUUUUUGUUCACUUUAAAGCAUAACUUUAUAACAUGUUGGAAUUUCCUCAAGGUUUUGUAAAUACUCGUCUGAAUUCCUCCCAGGUAUUAGUAUGUCAUCCAAAAACCAGAAAAUACUAUUUAUUCUCUGCAGGUUUCAAUCCAUUCGUCUUUGAAAUCCUUCAGGUAACUGGCUCCCCCCAGGGUAAUCUUGCCUACUUCAAUAGGCACCAACGUGUGAGUUCAGUCAGAAUUAGCGUGUUUUUAAAAUCUGGAUUCCUACGGCGCUGCCAGACUUUGGACAAGCACACUUUGGAAAAGUCUAUUCCCUCUGCCAGUUUCUGAGGUAAAUCCUGUGCUUUCGGGGUUUUAAUGGGCACGCAGAGUGCAGCACCUGCCCUGACUUCUUCAUGUACAAUCAGUCCCACUCUUCCAAUGCCUGUUAUUGCUUUUCCACGGUGCCUUUGCCUGUGUUCUGCACAAUUAUACCUCUAACAAGUAGAAAUAUUCUUGCCACUUUUCCUUCAGCACAGUUUUUGUCUUGGUAAAUCCAACUUUCGCUCCUCCCAUUUGUGUUAUUGUGCUGCUUCUUACCUGGCUCCAAGUUUUGUCUGAUUUUUGUAAUUUAACAGCUUUACCAGUGAAGCUAUUGGUUGUUUAUUGCUGAUAUGUUGAUACUGGUUUGUUAUACCUGGAUUAUAUCUUUUUCUAGCCUCAACAUGAGGCAACUAAGACAUGUUUUAAAAUCUUUUAUUCUAUUUUCACUUUUAUGAAAAGAGUGAGACAAUACAAAUGCUAUAAUUCGCACUAUCACAAUCAAAAGCCAGCUAUUUCUUAAUUAAAAAACACUAUAAACAUCUCUCAGCUUAUCAGCUUUUUUACCACAAUAUACUGUAAAUACCUUAAAACCAAUCAUCUAAAAUUACUCCUUGUGUGUCCUAUGAAAAUACAUCUUUCAUAGUUCUAUUUCUCCAGUUUCCAGUCUUAUUUACAAAACCAUCCUUUAAAACUUUUUUCUAACUCCAUUUCUCUCUCAACAAUAUCUAUCCCAUUCUAUAACAUUUCUAAGUCAACAUUUCUUAUCUCAACAUUUACAUACAAAUACAUACUAUGUAAACCUUCUGUCAAACCCUAAAAACUCUCUGCAAAUCCGUUUCCCACACCAAGAAACUCCACUAGCCCUGCCCUUCCUGGGAUUUGUACAUCUCAUUUUCUGAGAGAAAUGCUGGGUGAUAACCUUUGGGAUGAUCCAAGCUAUGCCUUCAGCAUCCUCACUCCCUCCUGACCUUGAAUUCAAAAUUCAAGAUUAUUGAAUUUUAAAUGCUGCCACAUUUGAUAGGCUUAAAUUGAGCUCAACACCUUUGCCAGUGGCAGCUCCUUCAUCCACCCAGCACCCAGCAGGUUCUUGCUCAGUUUGGGGAAUUAUACACAAACAACAAAUUGAUUUCUGAGAAUCUUUUUCAUAGAAUUACCAUAACAACAAGGACAAGUCAUUUAAAGCAAGCCAAACAUGCAGAAUUUCUGGACUGGUUCCUUAUUUGCAACUUAAAUUGUUCUAAGCAGGAAUUUGUGGCAGGCACAUGAUGUUUUGCAGAGGCUUUAUAAGGAUUUCAGAAUCCAUCUUGCUGCCUUUGGAAAACCCAAGAUUGAGCACUGCAACUGCAGCAUAAAUCUCUAAAUUGUAUUUUUACUUUACCAGUAAAAAUUCCUUUGCAUAGAUGUAUCUUUGACAGCAUUUGCAUAAAAUACUCUUCAUAAUAAGAAGGUUUUGAAAUCUUCCACUCCUUUCAUAUGUCUGGAAACUCUCAAAAAUGCUUUUUAUCUAUAAGCUUAUUUCUAAAAUAUUUUAAACAGCAUUUUUCAGUGCAUUUAUUUUAUUUUUUGAUGAGUUAAAAAAAUAACCAUCAAACCCCACAAAACAGACUGAGUAGACAGUGGCAACUUAAGGAGGAGCUGCUCCGAAGCUGAAGGUUUUUAAUGGAAAACUCUCAUUCUGGAUCCUAAUACAAACAUUAAAAUUGGCCGCCACACAACUGCAAACUUAAAUCAUCAUCCAAGUGAAAGCAAGAGAUUCAGAUUAUUUCUUUUUUAAAGUUAAACCCUUGCCUAAGUUCCUUGUGCCUCUUUCUGCCUGCAGUCAGUGCCUCCAAAGAGCAUCUCUCUCUCCUUUGACAAGAGACAAUUUUGGCUCUCGGAGCUGCCCUGCCUUGCUCUGAAAAAUGAAAUUUCAUUGGAGGCGUUUCCAUCAGCUCCUGAUGGUGUUUAACCAUCUUUCUCCCACGCUGGAGCAGAGAGCAAUAAAGGAGCAGGUCACCACAAAAUGGAUUAAGUGCAAACUCACAUGUGUCACGCCAAAGUUCACCGUUGACUGAAAGUAAAAUAGAUUUUUAAAGUCUUUGAGAGCAGCAAGAUUUUUUUAGAGGAAUAGAUCAAAUUACUUACUUUUGUAUUGCCAUAAAGCUACAGAGACAUUUUCUAUCUCUUAUGUGCUUUGAAACGAUCACAAUUUUGUCCAAGGGCCAAAUGAGUUAAUAAUAAUAACAAUAAUAGUGAUAUUAAACCCAAGCAAGACUAUUGGGAAAUAAUUGAUAAUUAAUAAGCAUAUUUUAAAAGAAUUUACAGUGACCUCUUACCUUACAGAGUUAGGUCCAAUUAUAGAAAUACUUUCACCUCAAGGUGAUUAAAAUUAUCAAUUUUUUGAUUUUUGGUAAAACUUCUUGUGUUUUUCAUAGAGUUCUAUUGGGUAUCAUGAAAUUAAAGAGCUAAAAGAAUAUUAAUUAAGGAAAAAACAAAUAUAUUCAAUCCAUAAAAAUAGCAGGGCAUGCAUGAAAAAGAAAUAAAUAUAGAGUAGGAUAAAUUCUUGCAAGUCGUUCAGUGCUGCAUUCAGUAAUGGACUUAACACAGGUUUUUCUUGCCCUCCCUACUCAAGACUUACUCUACUACUCACCCAGUUUUCAAAUACUUAAUAUACAAAAGCAUUUGCCUUUAAGGCAUCAAUAAUUUAGGACUGCCAUUGAAAGGAAUGUUUUUUUCCAUUAGGGAAAAUAAUUAUAUCAUAUAUCCCACCAUUGCCUUUGGACUCCCAUCUUGGUGCAAAGGAAACCAUUAGCCAGCUGAGAUUGAACUGAAAAUCUUCAUCAACAGCUGAAAUCUUCAUCAACACUGAGGGAAUGCAAAUAAAAAGUGACUUUUUCCACGUUACAAAAACGAACAGCUACAGGACAGGCCCCGUGUCACAGUGAGCCCUGGUGCGUUCUGAGGGAGCCAUUUGAGGUUUUAUUUACGUGUUUGGAAGGCAGCACCUGUGCAGAUUUAAAGCCUGCAGCUCUGCUCAGCAGAACUAACUCGUAUAUUUUACUGGGGCUUUUCACAGGGCUGUGGGGCUGUAACUGUGAGCGCAGUAAAUCUUUACAGUUUUGGAUUUCUUGCGGCUCUCGUCAGGUGUUUUACUGCCCCUCGCUCAUCCAGAACAAACGUCGAGAAUUUCUGCUCAGGGUGCGCUUCAGAAUUCACCCCGAGCUCCCCAAAAAGAUCAUUAGCAGCACGGCAAAGCUCCUUGCAAGAUUUCUACCCAGCUGACACAACAAUUUGCAGAGACUUCUCCUUCCCCACCCCACAAACCUGCUUUUUAUUCUUAUCCCUCAUCAUAAAGAAAGCUCAUUUCCAAAUUAAAACACCUAAAUCCCAGAGGAGCCUCUCAAUCCCCUGCACAGUUUUAAUGGAAAUAUUAGAAAAUAAGGGGAAAAUGAACUUUUUUUUUUUCUGGUUGAAAACAUGCACAGAUGUUCUUUACCCAAUAUAUGGAUUAGAUAAUGCAGUUGACAGUUGACAGAUUUUUUUAUCAAAUUUUUAAAAGCAUUUAAUGCUGAAGAAAAAAUGUAGUUUUUCCAAUCAAUGUUAAAAUCUUCAGCGAGGAUAAAAUCAUACACAAAGUGGGGUUUGUGUGCUUUGAUUUGUGCAAUAAUCCAAUAAAGGCUCAAAAUUAGCACUGAAAACGAAGGGAAAUCAACCAAUUCUGAUGUAUUGGGGAAAUUAUAAAACACAACUCACUGUGGGCAUUAUAAUUGAGUGUAUGGAGCUGAUGAGUAGCUGAACUCAUCUGCCAUAAGUUUUUUAUUUCAAACUAAUCCAUAAACUGCCUUUUCAAUUCUCUAAAAGAACAUAAAAUACCAACAAUUCUUUUAGCGUGUCCCCAUCAAUCCAAUCAAAAAAAUCAUGAGCUGCAAAUGACAGCCCAUAGCUGUAAUAUAAAAAUAUCCUGGUUAUCAAUCUAAAACUGGUUUUGCAGUGAUGUUGGCCAGGAUAUUUUGCCUCAUGACUUCAUGGUUCUCAUUCUGUUGUUUAUUGUCCUGUCAUCUUAUAUUUAUAUCAUUUGGCCUCCAUCUUCCAUAGCAAUUAAAAAUGGCAUUUCUUUAACCGUGGUUUUGCUGGUUUUCCUGGUGCUUUCCACAAAUGCCCAUCCCUGGAUUGGAAUGGAUUGUCACCACCAGCUUCUAAAGACCUUUUCCAUCAAAGAAAUAAUUAAAUACUUGAUUUAUUCCACUCAUUGUUGCAAUUAUUUUUGCCAUGAUGGGGGAUGUGGCUCUUUGGCACACACAGUCACCACCUCAGCAGAGAGAUCCUGGAAAUGCCCCAUUUCUGAGCCUGGAUUCCUUUUCUCACUGGACAUGGUAAAUCCUGGAAUUGCUGCAGCUUGGAAACUGUCCCAGAAAGGGCACACAAGGGACACUGGGAAUUACACAUUGGACUCCAGCUCUCUACAUUGAGUGACAAAAUCUUGGAUAUGGGAAGAAAAGAGGGGCUCAGCCAAUAUUAUCUGGUAAUGUGAAGAUAACCACAGCUAAAAAGGGCUUCAUGUGUCCAGAAAAAGAGCUGUUAGACUGGAUUAUGCUGGUCUGGGACAGGAAGGAUUAGUGGAGAGGAGGCCUGACAGUGAAUUCAUUAUGAUCUGCAGCAGAUAUUACAAAAUGCUGCUUUGCUGGUUGCAUUCGUCCAAAGAUCUUCCCCAAGAACUGUGUAUUAGGGGUAAUUUGGAGCUCAGUUUUCAGGAUCGGUUUUGGAGAUUUUUGGGGGCCCAAAGCUGGAGUUCUGAAGCCCACGGACAGCUUAUAACGAGUUCAGCACAUGCUGUGUGAGGGUCACCAGUGGCUUUACCUCUCUCAGAGCUGGAGCCUCUAAAAGUUAUUUCACUGCCAAAGCAUUUCCAUCCACCAACAUUCCCACAGGGAGGGACUUUCUUCUUUCUCCAGGAAAAGGUUCUUCCCCAGAGGGUGCUGGCAUUGCCAAGGCUCCCCAGGGAAUGGGCACAACCCCGAGGCUGCCAGAGCUCCAGGAGGGUUUGGAGAACAUUCCCAGGGUGGGAUUGCUGGGGUGUCUGUGCAGGGCCAGGAGCUGCACUGGAUGAUCCUUGUGGAGCCUUUCCAACUCAGGAUAUUCAUUAAUUCCAUGAUAUUUGAAUGGAAGAGCUGGGAGGCACAGAGAGAUUAAUCUGCACGACCUGCAGGUGUGCCACAGAGAUGCUCUUUCCCUUUCUCAUAUUCUUUGCCUUGCUUAAACAUUGGCCCAGCUCUGUCCCCCAGGCUGGAGGUCUGAAAUGAAAUGGCAAUCUGCUCCUCUCCUGGCUAAUUGGAGCUGGAGCAGAGACAUUUCACAGGAGAAUAAUGAUGAGCUGCUGUCCCUGCAUCCCUCUUUGUCUCCAUUUUUAUUUUUGUAGUGUCUCAUCUGCUCUGCUGAGCUGCCAGUCACCUCCUGGGGACACUGUCCCUCACUGAGAGCUCCUGGGGCUCUCUGACUACCCCUCAGCUGCUUUCAGCUCCCGAGGCUGGGACAUUCCAGCUGGGAGCUGGACCUGUGGACACCAGAAAGCACUUUCCAGUUCUGGAUCUCCUCAUUUCCCCCUGGCAGCUGGAGAAGCUCCCUGCUAACGAGGGAGCUCCAUUCUCUGAUCCUCCCCUUGCUUGGCUCUGGUGGCUGAAUUGCCUCUGGCUCACCUCAAUCAGCUCCAUUUAUUCCAGGGUUUUGAGUAGCUGCAUAUGAAAGCCUCGCUGAUGGAGAUAUCACAUGGCUUUGCUUUGCCUACAGACAAUGAUUUCAUCUUAAUAAAGUCAGAUUUUGCCUCUGCCUGCUGCGCUGUCGAGUGAGCUCUCCUACAAGCCCCACAAUGCAGCAGCUUUGUGAGGAAAAAAAGCACAGGACAGAAUAAUUUAUUUUUUUCUCUCAAUAAUCCUGAAAAUGAGCCAUGACUGACAAGAGGGAGCAAGGAGGAUUUGAAGCACUUGAAUUUCUUUUUCCAGUGUAUUUGAUAUUGCAACUGUGGAUGCCACUGUCACUGCAGGAAGAGUUAUGAGACCAUUUAAAGGGGUUAAGACCUUUAUAUGCCUGAGGCCACUUCUAAGCCCUGGUUUUCUGUACUGUUCUGUCCUACCAGGUUCCUUUCUCCCUCUGGUCAAAAUAGUAACUUAUAUAAUUGCUUAAUUCAUAUGAAUUUGUAAGGGAACAAAUGAAAUGAAAAAGCUCCUCGGAAACACCAGCAUUACCCAAAAAUACACAUAAAUAAAAUGAGCACCUCCAAAACCUGUAGUGACAUGUAGCCACAUCGAAUUCCUGCCCUGCAAAUUGCUCAGCCCACGAAACAGAGCAAAAAAAUGCAGAGAACAAGGCAAAAAAUGUGCCAGUCAGCCUCUUUAGGAGCUGUGCACGCCACUGGCAGGGGCUGCUUUGCAUUAGUGCUCCUCAAUUCUUUGACUGAUUUGUUCCCUGGGUGUAACAGCUGCCCACAGGUUGUACCUGCAUGGGUGAAUCGAGUGUGACACAGAGCCAGAACAUUGUGGUGCCUUGCUUCUUGUGCUAAUAAAUAUUUCAGCAUAAAUCCUAAGUGCUGGUUCUGCAGUCCCCCAUCCUUCUCUGCUGCAAGACGCAGAAAAAGCAACUGGGAAAUUGCUGCCCAUAAUGGAAAAUUAAAAAAAAAAAAAAAAGGAAGUUGGUAAGCUUGUGGUAAUGGAUCACAUAUUUUAAAUUGAUUUUUGUUGCUUAGGAGGAUUUGAAGCACUUGGAUUUCUUUUUUCAGGGUAUUUUAUAUUGAAUUUGUCAAUGUAACUGUAGGAAGGGUUAUGAGAGCAUUAAAGGGUUAAGACCUUCACAUGCCUGAGGACACUCAUAAGCCUUAAAAUUCCACCUAAAUCCUAAAGCCCUAAAAUUCCACUGUUGUUGUUUUCCUUUUUAUUUUAUUUCUAACAGCCAGCCCUCUCCCUCUGCACAGGUCAGCCCUGAAUGGGCUGCACUUCAAGGCUUUUUCCUCUGUGGAAUUUUUCCUAGGAAGAAGAAGAAGAAAAACAUCUCAGCCACUCAAAGUUGGAGCAUCCUUCUCCUCUCUUCCCCCUUUUAGUGUCAAGUGAGAGAUUUACCCAUCUCCCACCUCAGUGAUGCUUGACAGCAAAAUAUCCUGCUCCAAAUAUCAUCCCCAAGCUCACGAGCAGCUCCAGGAUUCUGGGAUGAGCAUUCCCAGCUUUACCAGGAACCAUAUAAAUAAUAUUUGUACAGCUCCCAGGACAAACAAACACGGGCAGGAAGCAUUUACAAACCCGGGCUGUGUUAAUUGCUUCUGCAGAUGACUCCACCUGAAAAUAUUGGAGGGUUUUGAUGAAAACUCACAGAUCAUGGCGCAUAGACAAUGAGGCAAACAUUUCCUUCAUUUCCUCGCUGGAUUUUGAAAUUAAAAAGGAAAAGAGUCACAUCUGUGCUCAGGAGUCCAUUUCCAAGCUCCCCACCCAGCUGGGUUGGCUUCCAUGGCUGGGCAGUAUGGAUUGAGUAGCUCCUAAAUUUAGGAUUUGCUCCUAGAACCUCAACUGGUGCACCUCAUGGGGAAUUUAUGGCUUGGAAAUGAAGAAUUUAUGAGGAGAAAAUGGUGGGGGAGGAGAAUUAACUCAAUAUUUUCUUCUAGGCUCGCCCUCCAUCCUCAACUCUGCAAUGAGAUUUGGCUUGUAGGGAUGUUUUCCUCUGAAUUAUGGCAAAGCCUGUGGGGUAAGAGUUGUUUGACUUGCUGGGAGUAUUAUUUCUAUCAAAAGAGCCUCUCAGAGAAUAAAAUUCCAAAAUGGGGUUUAUGUGGCAAUAUCUUUACUGAUUAAAAAGAAGGAGUAAAAUAAAGUAAAGUAAUGACUUUCCACUGGUUUUAUUCCUAUUUAUUUGAUGUGCCAGGAAAUUUUCACUGUUUCAGUGGGAACUGGAGUUAUCUUCAGCCUCACUAUCAGUUUUACAUCUAUUAUUGUGAGUUAUUUUUCUCAAUUAGUGAAAAGCAAAUUAACAAAUGUAAACACACUUUCUUAUUUCUGGAUGCUGGUGUGGAAUUAACUUGGGGAAAUCUGGGAAAUGCUGCGCUCAAGAUUCUGUGAGAAAAAAAUUAAAAUUCAUAGUUUUGUGUUUUAUGAUUUAUGAAUCCAUUGUGUUUCAUUGUAAACUAGGGGGGAAUUUUCACUGGAAUCCUAGAAAUAAACUGGAAACAAGAUGGAAGGAGUCAAAGUGACUCUUUGGGCACUGUGGUCUUUAUUUUGGGUAAUAAAUUUGUGCAGACUGGAAGAAGGCAAUGAAGCAUAGCUUGGAAAUGUAUUCCCCAGGAAUGUAUAUUUUAAAUAAAUGUCAAUUCCUUUUAACAGAA
Molecule: non-coding RNA, 22805 nt
Organism: Taeniopygia guttata (zebra finch)
Lineage: Eukaryota; Metazoa; Chordata; Aves; Passeriformes; Estrildidae
Source: RefSeq, a predicted model, not a curated record